UAUUCUCUGUCUGUUUUCCCUAUUUUCCUCGGCCUUUAGUGUAGUGGGAUUUCGGGGGUUUGUAGAUGAUUGGUGUGACGCCCCCAAAAUAGGUAUACAUCACCCAUCUUGAGUCUCCAAACAACUUAAUUAUACAACAGUCGUGUAAAAUACGACAAAACAUAAUCUAAGAGUUUUAAUAAGAAUAUUGUCAUCUAGACAAUAUCCACACUCAAUGGAGUCCUCAUUACAUUUAUUGUCACACUAUUUAACAAAAUAGUGAGGACUACUAAUGCUAUCAUCUGGACUGUAACUCCGUUCCCAGACUAGAAUAACGCCCUCUUGAACCUUCUUCUUCACAUUCAUCAGCUCUGAGUAUGUAGCUUGCACGUCUUUAACUUUAUCGAUUAAAGUUGAUUCUACUCGUAUAUUUAAUAUGACCAC
Molecule: long non-coding RNA, 423 nt
Filed under: Panax ginseng (ginseng)
Lineage: Eukaryota; Viridiplantae; Streptophyta; Magnoliopsida; Apiales; Araliaceae
Description: long non-coding RNA (PGIN_LNC003561)
Source: RNAcentral